This is a non-coding RNA of Pelobates cultripes (western spadefoot toad), 346 nucleotides long. The record is from the annotation of a GenBank genome assembly. NCBI's taxonomy places the organism in Eukaryota, Metazoa, Chordata, Amphibia, Anura, Pelobatidae.
CCUGGAUCAUUCUCUAUAUUUACUUAUUUUUGGUCCUUUCUGGGUACUGGGACUUUCCAUGGAGCACCCUGGAUUCCACAACGAAGGGUUGAGUGCACUUCCAUUUCCAUUUAUGUUUGUAUAGGGAGGGAAGCUAGACAGUUCAUUGAAACAGCAUGAUUCCAUACUGAUAAUGGACGUUUUUAUAUCCAAUUAAUGUAGGUUGUGUAUAAGAAUCAUAAAUAGAUUAUUCACAAUAAAAGAGCAUGAUUCCAUACUGCUAAUGGAUCUUUUUAUUUUCCGUUAAAGGGACACUGUAAGCACCAAUAUAACUUUGGUUUAAGGCUUUAGUGUAUAGCUCAUGCCC